Rattus norvegicus (Norway rat) is the source of this 2976-nucleotide non-coding RNA. NCBI's taxonomy places the organism in Eukaryota, Metazoa, Chordata, Mammalia, Rodentia, Muridae. The record is from RefSeq and is a predicted model, not a curated record.
UAAGAAUGGGACACAAGAGGCAGACAUUCCUUUUUCUGUUUGUUGUUUAUUUUUUUGCACCUGGUCUCCAUGUAGUCAAGUUGUCUUCAAACGUUAUCUUUUUGCCUUAUUGUUCUCAGUGCUGAGAAGUUUGGUUGAGCUACUACACCAAGGGGGGUAAUUGUGUGUGUGUGUGUGUGUGUGUGUGUGAAAAUUUUCAUAUAUGUAAAUUCAUAUAUGGCAAGGCCCUACUGAAGAGCUCUUCUUUAACACUAGAAUCAGGCUGUUUCUCCUCAAUCUUCCAGAAGGUUAGGCAAUAGUAUUAUUCCAUUACACAUUCGAAGGAUCUGUCUUUGUCAUUGUUCUGCAAACUCUAGCUCCUUUGUAUUCCCUGGUGUUGUGGAUUGAAUGUGAAGUGUUUUCCAGAGGCUCACAUUUAAAGUCUGGGCUCCAGCAUGGGGUGUUGUUUGGGGACCCAUAGGAGGUGGAGUCUCACCAUAAGAGGUGGGGCCCUAGGGGUAGGCCCUUGAGGUUUUACAGAACAGCUCUUCUUCCUGACUCGGGAUGUAUUCCAGUCAGCUGCCUUAAAGUCCACCAUGAUGCCUUCUUAAACUAAGAGCCAAAAUAAGCCUCCUUUUUCUAAAGUUGUUUCUGUCAAUUACUGUGUCAUAGCAAUGAGACAAGCAAGUUAUAGAGAUGGCCUCAUGGAUCCAACCUGUGAGCUCUGACAGCAUGUAAAGCGCUUCCCUACCUGUUAGCUCUGUCAGCUGGUAACACCCUCCCCAACUUCUUUGGUGGCUUCCUGAGGGAUCUGUCAGGAAGAUUCACACACUGAACUAUUUUGUUCCCGUGUUCCCAGAAGUCACUGCCCUUCAUUACCCACUGCCUGUUGACUUUAAGAUCAUGGCAUCCUAUAUCUCUCUGGGUUUCUACAGUUGUUUCAAAUGCUAAGAUCUUUAGGAGUCCAUCUUAGCCAGAAGUCGACCCAAGCCAACAAUGUAUGAAUCUUUCUGGUUCACAAAUUCCAACACAUAAAGUGAUAAUUAGAUGUGUGCUGGAUUAAAUUUUGUUUAAAUAAUGGACUUCAUAGGCUCUUACACACACACACACACACACACACACACACACACACACACACACACACCCUGCACUGCGAAGCCAGAUUCUUUCUUUCGUUUGUUCGUUCAUUCGUUCGUUCGUUCGUUCUUUCUUUUUUUCUUUUUUUUUUUUUCAGAGAGGUGAGAUCAUCUGAAAUAUAGAUGGAAAAAGAGAAAGUGAUCCCAGAAGGGCUGCCUGGAAGCGUCAUGGGCAACAAAGACCGGUGGGCCUCACGGAAGUGUGUGUGUAUAUGGUGUGUGUUUGUGUGUGUGUGUAUGUGGUGUGUGUUUGUGUGUGUGUAUGUGGUUUGUGUGUGUGUGUUUGUGUGUAUGUGGUGUGUGUUUGUGUGUGUGUGUAUGUGGUGUGUGUGUAUGUGGUGUGUGUGUUUGUGUGUGUGUGUUUCAUUCACAGAUCCAAGGAGUUCCUGAGCAGGUGACUGGAAGCCCAAACUCACCUACAGAGCCAGAUUUAGGUUGGGAAAGUGAUGUAGUGAAGGCCUCAAAGCUGGGAAGAGGAGGGACUCCACAGGUGAGCUGAGAGCAAGUGACAUCCACUCCCACAGAGGCUGCAGGUUCGCUGGGGCUUCUUCUCUGGGGGAUUCUAGGACCAAACCAAUGACAGUUUUUUUUUUUUAAUUUCUCUUCUCUAAUUCUUUUCAGUAGUUAGAAUUGUUUUUAUUUUUAAAGAAAAAGGAAGUCGUUGUAAUUUUUCUGAGUUGGGGCAUUAACUACUUUUCCUGCUGUGACCAAAUACCCAAAGAAGAGCAUCCUAAGCGAAGAAGGCCGCAUCCAGGUCCACAGUUUGAGGCUCUGGUUCCUCAAGGUGGGGAAGGCAUGGAACAGGAGUGGAGGAACCUGGGCAUGAGGCUUCAUAAGAAGGAAGCAGAGGAAGUUGGAUUGGUUCCUCAGCCAGCUCUAUCUUUUUAAGCAAGCCUGGACUUCAUCCCUCAGAAUGUGCUGCCUAAUUCAGGGGAUCCCGUGCUGCCCAAGAAGACAAAUCUGUGAGCAUAUCUGGGAAGCACUUCCUGGAUGGAGGACGUUGAGAUGGGAAGACCCACCUAAGUGUGGAUGUGGUCCUUGGCUAUAUAAAAGGAGAAGACUUUCAAGAUUCAUCUAUGAUAUGUUUUAUAAAACAAGAACCUAAGACAAUUGGGAUGAGGAAGUGGGUCAAGUCCUAGGAGAGCCGGCUGUUUCAUUUCUGUCCAGGGUCUGUGGGACCACCUGCAGAUUUUUCGAGGCACUGAGAACACGAUGAGAAGCACAGACACGGUCCCUGUCCUCAUGGAGGUUACCAUCUGGCAAGGCAGCAGGAGGAGGUGCUGUGGGGGGACAGGGAGAGGCGAGUCUGGAAGCAUCUCUGAAGAAACACUCUCCCGGCCUCUGCAUACGAUCUCCAAGCACAGCACAGGAAGAUAACAUUCAAGGGAUGCCUCAGCUCCCUUAGCAGAUACCUGUUACCUCCUGAAUCAACACCCAGUGUCUCCGCCGCCUGACCUCAUCGUCUACCGCCUGACCUCUUUGCCUCCAGCUAUCACUACCUAUACCCUCAUCUCCCCCUCCUCUGUGUUUCACAAAGGACACCCCCCUACCUGAAAGCCUUAAAAGCUGUAAUGUUCACCCCAAUAAACAAGACCUUGGCAAUAGAAUCUUGCUUGGUCUCCUUCUUCUCUCGCCCCCCAUUUAGGCCCAAGGGUAGCACCCCUUCGGGACCCUGAAUAACUGGGUCCCCGCUGGCGGGGACAGCAAGCAAGUGAGUUUGCUGGAGAUUGCCCACCAGUUUGCGUGGCUACAAGGGGGUGCUCUGUGAGGCAGUGACCCCAGAUACUUCAUUUCUGGAUUGCUUUUUACUACUGAUAAGCCUUUCCUGCCAUUAUUACAUUGCCUAAUGAUUCCUGGGCAU